RNAcentral lists this non-coding RNA (30 nucleotides) under Mus musculus (house mouse). The record is from RNAcentral. Lineage: Eukaryota; Metazoa; Chordata; Mammalia; Rodentia; Muridae.
UCAGAGGAUACAGAGCAAAAUCAGCCAAGG